RNAcentral lists this ribosomal RNA (522 nucleotides) under uncultured bacterium. RNAcentral describes it as "bacterial SSU rRNA". It matches the Rfam family "Bacterial small subunit ribosomal RNA", at positions 988 to 1509 of the family's 1533-position model. The record is from RNAcentral.
CCAGAGAAUUUAGCAGAGAUGCUUUAGUGCCUUCGGGAACUCUGAGACAGGUGCUGCAUGGCUGUCGUCAGCUCGUGUUGUGAAAUGUUGGGUUAAGUCCCGCAACGAGCGCAACCCUUAUCCUUUGUUGCCAGCACGUAAUGGUGGGAACUCAAAGGAGACUGCCGGUGAUAAACCGGAGGAAGGUGGGGAUGACGUCAAGUCAUCAUGGCCCUUACGAGUAGGGCUACACACGUGCUACAAUGGCGCAUACAAAGAGAAGCGACCUCGCGAGAGCAAGCGGACCUCAUAAAGUGCGUCGUAGUCCGGAUUGGAGUCUGCAACUCGACUCCAUGAAGUCGGAAUCGCUAGUAAUCGUAAAUCAGAAUGUUACGGUGAAUACGUUCCCGGGCCUUGUACACACCGCCCGUCACACCAUGGGAGUGGGUUGCAAAAGAAGUAGAUAGCUUAACCUUCGGGAGGGCGUUUACCACUUUGUGAUUCAUGACUGAGGUGAAGUCGUAACAAGGUAGGCGUAGUGCU